CCUACGGGUGGCAGCAGUGAGGAAUAUUGGUCAAUGGACGAGAGUCUGAACCAGCCAAGUAGCGUGAAGGAUGACUGCCCUAUGGGUUGUAAACUUCUUUUAUAUGGGAAUAAAAUGUUCCACGUGUGGGAUUUUGUAUGUACCAUAUGAAUAAGGAUCGGCUAACUCCGUGCCAGCAGCCGCGGUAAUACGGAGGAUCCGAGCGUUAUCCGGAUUUAUUGGGUUUAAAGGGAGCGUAGGUGGAUUGUUAAGUCAGUUGUGAAAGUUUGCGGCGCAACCGUAAAAUUGCAGUUGAAUCUGGCAGUCUUGAGUACAGUAGAGGUGGGCGGAAUUCGUGGUGUAGCGGUGAAAUGCUUAGAUAUCACGAAGAACUCCGAUUGCGAAGGCAGUUCACUGGACUGCAACUGACACUGAGGCUCGAAAGUGUGGGUAUCAAACAGGAUUAGAUACCCCUGUAGUC
RNAcentral lists this ribosomal RNA (460 nucleotides) under uncultured bacterium. Its description in RNAcentral is "partial 16S ribosomal RNA". It matches the Rfam family "Bacterial small subunit ribosomal RNA", at positions 338 to 795 of the family's 1533-position model. The record is from RNAcentral.